Molecule: long non-coding RNA, 7572 nt
Filed under: Musa acuminata (dwarf banana)
Lineage: Eukaryota; Viridiplantae; Streptophyta; Magnoliopsida; Zingiberales; Musaceae
Description: long non-coding RNA (MACU_LNC005013)
Source: RNAcentral
UCCCUCUUGAGAUAAAAAAAAGAAAUCGGUGUGCAAAAAGUGGUGGUCUGGUCAGUGUUAGCCCGAUAGGUACGGCGGGUGUGGCGUGCACCGGCCUGUUAUCCUUCCACCGUCAAGAGCGGGAGGUUAUCGCUGCUCUGUGAAACCAGCCUGACGCGGUGUCCUCCGCUUUAGGAUCCCAGAUAGCUCGGGCCUUCGUUCGAGCCACAUAGCUCAGCUGCCUGACUUGGAACGGGCAAGCCAAGUCUAGCACGACCGCACCCAACCUAUUCGGGCUGAACACAACAUUCCACCACCUUAUUGCCCCCACUAGGGUUACAAGCCGGCGUUACCGGGCUCGGCGAUCGAGGCGCUUCCACAACUUCAUAUAGCCUGUCAGUGAAUCCUAAAAAUUGGCGAUGUGGGACUAAAAACGCUCCCUCCUUUUUCCUUUCCGAACAUUCGUGCACCGCAUGCUUUCCAGGAGAAACCCGAAUUGCAUCUAAAGUUUCGAUCAUGGUUCCCCACCACCUAAAACCAUUCCAUCCCCUUCGAACAGACCAACAGAAGAUGCCCUGCAGACCCCUCCAGAUUACCCGACUCCUAAUCUUGAAACCUCGAAACCCAAUGCUCUCCUGCAUCGGGGAUUCAACAUGUUUCGAGCUAAAUUUCUCCUACAUCAGCUGACCGCAAUGCUGUAACUUUGGUGAUGAUGAAGAGGUGUAAGCUGAUAAAUGCUAUAACAAUGCCCGAAUACGUUGUCGGCCUCGUUGCAGAAGAGGAUCGACUUUUAGAUUGUGAAUCUGUGUCUUUGAACAUAGAUGCGCUAGCAUGUAUAUAAACCAUUACUUCUUAAUUCGAUGACAUUAAUAAAUAUAAUUGAUACGUCAUAUUUUGGCCUCGAAGACAUAUCAGGUCAGAAUCCAUACUAAGGCACUGCUUGACACGUCACAUCUUGGGAACCACAAGACACGCCAAGUCAGAAUCCAUACUAAGGCACUGCUCGGCAUGUCACGCCUCAGGAACCCCGAGACGGCGCCGCCCCCAAGACACGCCAAGUCAGAAUCUGUACUAAGGCACUGCUCGGCACGUCUACCAUGCCAAACCUCGUACGACUGACCCACGUACAAUAAUAUAAAGACCUCUGGCCGGCAUCUGGCUAGGAGGGGAAAAAAGGUGGUAAAAUCAAUUGAUCACUCUACUGACUUGUUCGUCAGAGGGUUCUCGUCGGGAAUCACCCAACGAGGGCCAUUUUUGAAGGAAAAUGCAGCCACCUCACGAAGACGAGCUACCAACCACCCGAGAAUCCCCAUCCAGUGCACGAAGGAGAGCAGCCAAUCGGUCCAUAUCCUAAACAAUGCCAACCAGUACUCCUUCUCGAGGGCUUGACCACCUCACGAAGAUGAGCUGCCAACCACCUCAGAAAAAGAGAGACGUAGCUCGACAUACACGACGCUCGGAUCGGCACACCAAGGAACACUGAUCAACACCCCAUUGCAAGGGCCCGAUAGACCUCGAUAUCCAACUCAACCGAUAGAAGACUCCCGACAUCGACCCGUAGACCAGGCUGUGCUAACUCACAAGCCACAGCACAUUUGUUUACUAACAUUUUGACGCUAGAAGGAGGGCAUGUCGCAAGAGCAACAGAUAGGGGUCCUCCCCGAGGGAGAACCACCGACCGACCUCCCUUUUGUUAAACCAAAAAGUCAGGCCUUCCCCACCCCCGGAGACAGGAGGAUCCCGGCUUCGAUGCUAGAUCGCUACUGUCGUCUGUUCAACGACCCGGGAUUGUCACCCCCGAGGCUCACCAUAGGGCCCUCGGUCGUGACACCCGAGGCAUUCCUUAGCCUAACCAAGCAAGUACAGGCCAUGGCGGGCAUGAUGUAGACGCUCGCUCCAAUCAUUCCUCAGAUCGUGCGGCUAGCGACGCCCCCGACCGACCCGUCCCAACAGCGACCGAACAGGGAGCAGGUCGGGACUGGAGAAGCCCAAGAGCAAGCAACGGACUCGAGAGGUCCGCCCGAGUAGAGCAUACUCGCACCCUGCCGAAUCACACCGCUCCACUCCGAGCCCGACACCAUAUCGUCCGACUCGGUGGAUGACUCGUUCAGGAUCCAGUUGUCUCGGAUCAACCAACGCUUGGAUGAGUUCCAGCGCGAGUUCCAGAAAUCGCGAUGCAAGUCGAAUGAAGGCGGCUCGGGCGAAUCGCCUUUCACUCAGGAAAUACAUGACAAGCCUGUACCACUCGACUUUAGGUUGCCCACAUUAGAGAUGUACGACGGCGGCUCUGACCCCGCAGAGCAUGUCGUCAUGUUUCGGGCUCAGCUAUGGCACCUCCAAUGCAUUGAUGUGUCGGGAAUUCCCGACCACCUUCAGGGGCCAGCACGAGCGUGAUUCAACCGGCUGCGCCAGUCCUCAGUCUCAUCCUUCGACCAGCUCACAAGGGAGUUCGAGCAAAACUUCCUCACCAACGUGCAACCCAAGCCUUCUAUCGCUACACUGCUGGCGUUAUCUCAACACGAGGAUGAGUCGCUCUCUCAGUUCGUGGCACAUUUAGCCACCGAGAUCUAUGAAUUUUCGGACGCUCAUCUCUCUCUAAUAAUGCAGGUGUUUCUGAUGGGCUUGAAACCUUCAAGGUUCUUUUGGUCACUAAUCGAGAAGCCUCCAGUAACCAUCCCCGAGAUGCUCCAAUGCGUCAACCAGUACAUCGCCGCCAAAGCUCUGGUGGUGGGAAAGUGCAUGGACAGCAAGAGGCCAAGGGCGAAACAAUCCCGGGGAACGACUUCCGUAGCCCCAGUGCAACCCCGCUAGAGGCUUGACUGACAAGAGCUACUGCUCCUGAGGCCCCCGCCUCUCCCUCUGAGCAUGUUCCACCAGGACUAUGACCACGGCACGGAAGAUUGCUGUGACCUCCAGAAUCAAAUCGAGGACUUGAUCCGAAAAGGUUAUCUCAAGUGCUAUGUCAAGGAAACCCGAGAAGCAACUCCAUGUCCUAGGGGACCCUUCGAAAGACGCCUCAUCAUCCAAAAUAUCAUGUCGAAAAGCCACUCGCGACAAGAGGUCCACAAGCUCGCCAGAUCGGUUCCCGACCUGCGACUCGCCGACCCAUCUCUUGCCUGAGCCGCUCUAGAUCGGUUCCCGACCUGUGCCUUGCCGGCCCAGCUUUUGCCCAAGUUGCUCCAGAUCAGUUCUCGACCUGCAGCUCGCCAGCCCAGCUCUUGCCCGAGUUGCUCUAUAUCGAUUCCCGACCCGCGGCUCGCCGGCCGAGCAUUUGUCCGAGCCGCUCCAGAUUGGUUCCCGACCUAUGGCUCACCGGCCCAGCUCUCAUUCGAGUCGCCCCAAAUCGGUUCCCGACCUGCAGCUCGCCGGCCCAGCUCUUGCCCGAGCCGCUCCAGAUCGGUUCCCGUCCUGCGGCCCGUUGGCCCAGCUCUUACCCAAGUCGCUCAAGAUUAGUUCUCGACCUCAGGCUCGCCGGCCUAGCUCUUGCCUGAGCCGCUCUAGAUCGAUUCUCGACCUGCGGCUCGCCGGCCUAGCUCUUGCCCAAGCGGCUCCAGAUCGGUUCUCGACCUGUGCCUCGCGGGCUCAGCUUUUGCCCGAGUCACUCCAGAUCGGUUCCCGACCUACGGCUCGUCGGCCCAACUCUCACCCGAGUAGCUCCAGAUCGGUUCUCGACUUGUGGCUCGCCAGCCCAACUCUUGCCCGAGCCACUCCAGAUCGGUUUCCGACCUGCGGCUCGUCGGCCCAACUCUUGCCCGAGUUGCUCUAGAUCGAUUCCCGACUUGCGGCUCUCUAGCCCAGCUCUUGCCCGAGCCAUCCAGAUCGAUUCCUGACCUGCGGGUAGCCAGCCCAGCUCUUGCCCAAGCGCUCUAGAUAAGUUCCUGACCUGUGCCUCGCUGGCCCAGUUCCUGCCCGGGUUGUUCCAGUUUGCUCCUGACUUUCGAUUCGGAGUCGAGCUUACUCACUUGGUCCCCAGAUUCAAUUCGGAGCCGAGCUUACUCACUCGGUCCCCAUAUCCGAUUCGGAGCCAAGCUUACUCACUCGGUCCCUAGGUUCAAUUCGGAGCCGAGUUUACUCACUCGGUCCCUAUGUUCAAUUCGGGGAGCCGAGCUUACUCACUUGGUCCCCAGAUUCAAUUCGGAGCCGAGCUUACUCACUCGGUCCCCAUAUUCGAUUCAAAUUCGAGCUUACUCACUUAGUCCCUAGGUUCAAUUUGGAGCCGAGCUUAGUCACUCGGUCCCUAGAUCCGAUUUAGAGCCGAGCUUACUCACUCGGUCUCCAGAUUCGAUUCGGAGUCGAGCUUACUCACUCGGUCCCCAGAUCCGAUUCAGAGCCGAGCUUACUCACUCAGUCCCCAGGUUCAAUUCGGAGCAGAGCUUAGUCACUCGGUCCCCAAGUUCAAUUCAGAGCUGAGCUUAUUCACUUGAUCCCCAGGUUCAAAUCGGAGAUAAGCUUAUUCACUCGGUCCCUAGGUUUGAUUCGGAGUCGAGCUUACUCACUCGGUCCCCAGGCUUAAUUCGGAGCCGGGCUUACUCACUCGGUCACCAGGUUCAGUUUGGAGCCGAGCUUAGUCACUCAAUCCCCAGGUUCAAUUCAGAGUCGAACUUAUUCACUCGAUCCCCAGGUUCAAAUCAGAGAUGAGCUUAGUCACUCAGUCCUCAGGUUCAUUUCUUGCUCGGGUCGCUCCAGAUCGCUCCCGACUUGCUACCCAUCGACACCGAAACCCGAGCCCGAGCUCGGUCACUCGACCCAUAGGCCCAAUCCAGUGUCCGAGCCACGCAUCUCAGCCAAUCCAACGCCCGAGUCGCAUCUCGGCCAAAUCCAAUGCCCGAGUCGCAUCUCGGCCAAAUCCAGCAUCCGAGCCACGCACCUCGGCCAUCCAACACCCGAGCCACGCAACUCGGCCAAUCUAACGCCCGAGUCGCAUCUUGGCCAAAUCCAAUGCCCGAGUCACAUCUCGGCCAAAUCCAACGUCCAAGCCACACACCUCGGCCAUCCAAAGCUCGAGCCACGCAUCUCGGCCAAUCCAAUGCCCAAGUCGUAUCUCGGCCAAUCCAAUACCCAAGUCGCAUCUCGACCAAAUCCAACGUCCAAGCCAUGCACAUUGCCCAUCCAAUGCCCGAGCCACGCAUCUCGACCGAUCCAACACCCGAGUAGCAUCUUGGCCGGUCCAAACGCCCGAACCACACAUCUUGGCCGAUCCAAUGCCCGAGCCAUACCUUGCGGCCAAUCUUAUGCCCGAGUCACAUCUCGAUCGAUCCAACGCCCGAAUCACCGGCCUAGUCUGUUAAUCCAAGUCGCUCCACGUCAACCCCUGACUAGCUACCCGUCAAGUCUCUAAACCGAGCCACCCCGGCUCGCUCGCCAACUUGCAAACUCGGCAGUUGUAACACCAAGUCGUGCCAAACCCGUUAUCUAACCUACGACACGUCGGUGUCGCCUCGUCGGUUUCGCCACGUCGGUUUCGACACGUUGGUUUUGCCUCGUCAGGCCCCUGCCUCCUGAUCAGUAGAGUCGAUCUUGCACGAAGCAUGGGGCGCUACCCUUCUAAAUCGCCCCAUGACGAGUUAAUCCAACUUCCCCUCAUGAACGAUCAGCCUCACUUCGAAGUAUCAUAUAAUAAUAUUUGGGCAUGGAAAGUUAUAAUGUCCUCCAUUGGGUUAGCAUUGCCAUCGAAUGCCUCCAACGACGAUGGUGGAAGAUUGUUAGAAUCGAUUCUUCCUGAAUUUUCUAGGUGAAUGAUGAUCGACUCGAGGUGGAGUCAACCAACGCUUCCUUUUUGGAUUAUUAAAUUUUUUAUCAUAUCUCCUCUAAAUGUCGGUCCAUCUAUGAUAGUUGGAUUCGCAAGGAAUCCUUCAUCAAUUUCGUCAACCUAGCCUCUGAUUUAAGCAUGAUAGAGUCAUGAUGUGGUAUGUUAAAUUUAUGGUGAUGGAGCGAAGUACUCUCUUGACCAUGAUUGGAUAGGUUUCGGGUACUCUUAGGAUGUCAACAUUAUGUUGGGUGGGGGAACAUUGAUUGGUGGGUGAGCUAUUGGGCUAACUAGCGUAAAUGUUAGAGAUUUUAAUAUAUAGAAUAUGCAUACUUGCAAGGCAUCUCAUGUAUGUCAAUUGUUGCAACCCCUUUUUUUUCUUAUUUAAGAUCCCUUCUGUUUUUUGAAUCAUAAUUAUAUUUUAACUGUUUUUUAAUAUUUAAUUCCUUCCAUCGAAAGAAAUGAACUUGAAUAACGAGAUGAUAUAAUAAAAGACACAAUAUCAACAAAAAUUUCUCAAGACCUACGUAAAGAAAAAAAAAUUCUUUGUAAAAAGAGAAAAAGCUAUAUUAAUUAGCAAAAACUAAAAAAAACGAAGAGCCGUUAGUAGCCUCCGAGGAAGAACAAAAAGUGGGUCAGCCUAUNNNNNNNNNNNNNNNNNNNNUCAACUAUGCUAAUGAUCAUGUUAGUGCGAUGGGUUCACUCUGUCAUUUGCCUACGCAUACAAUAUAUACUUUAGAAAACACAUAUAUAUUGAAAUUGUAUAGUUCGUCGUGAUUCUUUCUAAUCCCACACCAUGUGCCUUUACCGGAUGAUGAGAUGGGACAUUCCUUGGUAUCGCAGUAAAGUCAGAGGUCAUUCGUUAGAGGAUUUAUUAUAUUAAUUAUUGAGAGAUUAUAGAUUUUUUUUUAUCUUUAUUUUUUAUUUUUAAUUCAUUACUCAUAAUAAUCUUAUUAAAGAUAAAAAGAGAAGAGAAUGGGACUACAGUAGUGUUGUUGUGGGCGACAACUAUAGCAACAUCGAUACCACUAGGGUGAUUGUUGUAGCUUGUUGCGAUCGUAGCAUUACCGUUGCUUAGGGCAACUACAGCAAUGUCAUUGCGGUAUUUGUUGGCCACGGUCGAUGUCAACUAGACGUAAAAGACCAUGAUACUCAGCGGUUGCAUGACAAACUCGUAAGUAUUAGUGGGUGCCACAAUGACUAUGUGGUUGCUAGUUGAUACAAAAUCACGUAUGGCUGCGAUGACGAUGAGGUCGUUGAUUAGUCACAUGCGAAGAGCUAUGCACCGGUAACGAAUGACUAGUGCUCCAAGUGUGGGCAUAGUGGGAUGCGAUGACAACAUGAGAAUUUUUUUUUUUUUUAAGUAUAUUUUUAUCUUGAUAUAAGAAAAUUAUAUCUCCUAAGGGCUCUUCACUGAUUUAAUCACCUGAGGAGAAGCGCAAGUAAAAUUCUCCAGCAUCAUUAGAAUCCAUGAAGUAAUAACGAAUUACGGUCAGACCUAAACAAAAGAGGAAUCUCUGUGGCGUGCACCGGUGUGCAAAAAGUGGUGGUCUGGUCAGUGUUAGCCCGAUAGGUACGGCGGGUGUGGCGUGCACCGGCCUGUUAUCCUUCCACCGUCAAGAGCGGGAGGUUAUCGCUGCUCUGUGAAACCAGCCUGACGCGGUGUCCUCCGCUUUAGGAUCCCAGAUGGCUCGGGCCUUCGUUCGGGCCACAUAGCUCAGCUGCCUGACUUGGAACGGGCAAGCCAAGUCUAGCACGACCGCACCCAACCUAUUCGGGCUGAACACAACAUCCCACCACCUUAUUGCCCCCACUCGGGUUACAAGCCGGCGUUACCGGGCUCGGCG